GUGCUCACUUCAGCAGCACAUAUACUAAAAUUGGAACGAUACAGAGAAGAUUAGCAUGGCCCCUGCACAAGGAUGACACACAAAAUCAUCUAUUUUU
RNAcentral lists this small nuclear RNA (97 nucleotides) under Cebus imitator (Panamanian white-faced capuchin). Lineage: Eukaryota; Metazoa; Chordata; Mammalia; Primates; Cebidae. The record is from RNAcentral.